CAGCAGCCGCGGUAAUACGUAGGUGGCAAGCGUUGUCCGGAAUUAUUGGGCGUAAAGGGCUCGCAGGCGGUUUCUUAAGUCUGAUGUGAAAGCCCCCGGCUCAACCGGGGAGGGUCAUUGGAAACUGGGAAACCUGGGUGCAGAAGAGGAGAGUGGAAUUCCACGUGUAGCGGUGAAAUGCGUAGAGAUGUGGAGGAACACCAGUGGCGAAGGCGACUCUCUGGUCUGUAACUGACGCUGAGGAGCGAAAGCGUGGGGAGCGAACAGGAUUAGAUACCCGAGUAGUCCCUGUCUCUUAUAC
This 301-nucleotide ribosomal RNA is filed under the name uncultured bacterium. RNAcentral describes it as "partial 16S ribosomal RNA". It matches the Rfam family "Bacterial small subunit ribosomal RNA", at positions 509 to 807 of the family's 1533-position model. The record is from RNAcentral.